Molecule: ribosomal RNA, 978 nt
Filed under: uncultured bacterium
Lineage: Bacteria
Description: bacterial SSU rRNA
Rfam family: Bacterial small subunit ribosomal RNA
Source: RNAcentral
UUANACNUGCAGUCGUGGGGCAGCAGGGGUAGCAAUACCCGCUGGCGACCGGCAAACGGGUGCGGAACACGUACGCAACCUUCCUUUAACUGGAGAAUAGCCCCUCGAAAGAGGGAUUAAUACUCCGUAACAUAUUGAUAAGGCAUCUUAUUAAUAUUAUAGCUCCGGCGGUUAAAGAUGGGCGUGCGCCUGAUUAGAUAGUUGGCGGGGUAACGGCCCACCAAGUCUGCGAUCAGUAACUGGUGUGAGAGCACGACCAGUCACACGGGCACUGAGACACGGGCCCGACUCCUACGGGAGGCAGCAGUAAGGAAUAUUGGUCAAUGGACGCAAGUCUGAACCAGCCAUGCCGCGUGGAGGAUUAAGGCCCUCUGGGUUGUAAACUCCUUUUAUCUGGGAAGAAAUGCAUUUUUUCUAAAGUGCUUGACGGUACCAGAGGAAUAAGCACCGGCUAACUCCGUGCCAGCAGCCGCGGUAAUACGGAGGGUGCAAGCGUUAUCCGGAUUCACUGGGUUUAAAGGGUGCGUAGGCGGGCAGGUAAGUCCGUGGUGAAAUCUCUGAGCUUAACUCAGAAACUGCCAUGGAUACUAUUUGUCUUGAAUGUUGUGGAGGUAAGCGGAAUAUGUCAUGUAGCGGUGAAAUGCUUAGAUAUGACAUAGAACACCAAUUGCGAAGGCAGCUUACUACACAAAUAUUGACGCUGAGGCACGAAAGCGUGGGGAUCAAACAGGAUUAGAUACCCUGGUAGUCCACGCCCUAAACGAUGAUUACUCGACAUCAGCGAUACACUGUUGGUGUCUGAGCGAAAGCAUUAAGUAAUCCACCUGGGAAGUACGAUCGCAAGAUUGAAACUCAAAGGAAUUGACGGGGGUCCGCACAAGCGGNGGAGCAUGUGGUUUAAUUCGAUGAUACGCGAGGAACCUUACCUGGGCUANAGUGCUGGUGGACCGNGGGUGAAAGCUCAUUUUGNAGCAUACA